Molecule: ribosomal RNA, 362 nt
Filed under: uncultured soil bacterium
Lineage: Bacteria
Description: bacterial SSU rRNA
Rfam family: Bacterial small subunit ribosomal RNA
Source: RNAcentral
AGAUUGAACGCUGGCGGCAGGCCUAACACAUGCAAGUCGAGCGGUAGAGAGGUGCUUGCACCUCUUGAGAGCGGCGGACGGGUGAGUAAAGCCUAGGAAUCUGCCUGGUAGUGGGGGAUAACGCUCGGAAACGGACGCUAAUACCGCAUACGUCCUACGGGAGAAAGCAGGGGACCUUCGGGCCUUGCGCUAGUCAGAUGAGCCUAGGUCGAUUAGCUAGUUGGUGAGGUAACUGGCUCACCAAGGCACGAUCCGUAACUGGUCUGAGAGGAUGAUCAGUCACACUGGAACUGAGUACCACGGUCCAGACUCUACGGGAGCAGCGAGUGGGAAUAGUGGACGAAGUGGGACGAAAGCCUAGA